CAGGUUACGCUGGCGGCGCGCAUAACACAUGCAAGUCGAGCGAGGGCUUAUUUCUCGCAAGAGAGAUAAGUUCCUAGCGGCGAACGGGUGAGUAACACGUGGGCAGCCUUUCCUAUCGCGGGGGAUAACAGCGGGAAACCGCUGCUAAUACCGCAUGUCGUCACCGGUCGCAUGGCUGGUGAAGAAAGCAGCAAUGCACGAUGGGGUGGGGCCCGCGGCCUAUCAGCUAGUCGGUGGGGUAACGGCCUACCGAGGCGAUGACGGGUAGCUGGUCUGAGAGGACGGCCAGCCACACGGGGACUGAGACACGGCCCCGACUCCUACGGGAGGCAGCAGUGAGGAAUCUUCCGCAAUGGGCGAAAGCCUGACGGAGCGACGCCGCGUGUGCGAUGAAGUCCUUCGGGAUGUAAAGCACUGUCGGAGGGGAAGACAAAAAAGACGGUACCCUCCAAGAAAGGCCCGGCUAACUACGUG
RNAcentral lists this ribosomal RNA (474 nucleotides) under uncultured bacterium. RNAcentral's name for it is "bacterial SSU rRNA". It matches the Rfam family "Bacterial small subunit ribosomal RNA", at positions 33 to 507 of the family's 1533-position model. The record is from RNAcentral.